AUCCAGGGGAAAGAUCUUCCUUGGCCACCAUUGGCAUCUGAUUUGACAAUGGAUAAUGUGCAAAAAGUGGUUCCAUGUGAACUUUUUAAUGUAUUGGCUUGGACUUGUGGAUUCUCUUCAGAGCCAACUUUAAGCUUUGUUAGUGAUGUUCCAACUACUCUUGCAUGGGAUAAUGAUGAUUUCUCAGAAGAAACUAGAUCUGGCAAAGGGACAACUCACAUCACUGGGGGCAUUAUCAUUCAAAGGGAACAAAGUGCAAGUACUGAGUUAUAGAGACGGGAUAGCAUUCCAAGGUCAAGAUCCCUCCCAGCACCAUCAAAGGAGAUAAAUCCUUAUUUUCUUGGAAAAAGAAAAACUGUUAAUUUAAAUGAUGCCAUGCAAAAUAAGGAAAUUGAGGAAGAACAUCAUAUAUUACCUCAGAUUGAUGCUAAGAAGAAAGACCUUGCAUUCUGUCUAUGUAGAUAUGUUGGUAGGAGCAGUGCAAUAGGAAAUAUUUUUGCUUUUCGAGAAGCAAAUUUUGUUUCUGCAUUAAAAGCCAAUGUUUCCAGAUGUGGGAGACAGGGAAACAUUGGAGCAAACAUUGAAAAUCACGAAUAUUUUCGCGACAAUGUUUCUUGCUGCGUUUGGCCAAGGCUAUAUUUAAGCGAAAUAUUUAACUUGUUUCUUGAUUGUGUGAGUUGUAUGUAUAUUUAUAUAUUCUCCGUCCUGUUUGAUACAGGUGGGUUUUUUACCUCACAAAUUUUUAUUGAAUUAAGAUGUUAAUAAGUAGAAUUAUACGUUAAAACGGUAUUUUGAAACAAUAGCCAAUAAAUUGAAGUGAUUUAGCAUAUGAGCAAGCAAAAUGUACAAUGUGUUUUAACAAUA
This is a long non-coding RNA of Dendronephthya gigantea, 864 nucleotides long. RefSeq lists it as uncharacterized. Lineage: Eukaryota; Metazoa; Cnidaria; Anthozoa; Malacalcyonacea; Nephtheidae. The record is from RefSeq and is a predicted model, not a curated record. The transcript is spliced from 2 exons.